UGGGGAAUAUUGCGCAAUGGGCGAAAGCCUGACGCAGCGACGCCGCGUGAGGGAUGAAGGCCUUCGGGUUGUAAACCUCUUUCAGCAGGGACGAAGCGAAAGUGACUGUACCUGCAGAAGAAGCGCCGGCUAACUACGUGCCAGCAGCCGCGGUAAUACGUAGGGCGCAAGCGUUGUCCGGAAUUAUUGGGCGUAAAGAGCUCGUAGGCGGUCUGUUACGUCUGCUGUGAAAACCCGGGGCUCAACCCCGGGCCUGCAGUGGAUACGGGCAGACUAGAGUGCGGUAGGGGAAACUGGAAUUCCUGGUGUAGCGGUGAAAUGCGCAGAUAUCAGGAGGAACACCGGUGGCGAAGGCGGGUUUCUGGGCCGUCACUGACGCUGAGGAGCGAAAGCGUGGGGAGCGAACAGG
RNAcentral lists this ribosomal RNA (409 nucleotides) under uncultured bacterium. Its description in RNAcentral is "bacterial SSU rRNA". It matches the Rfam family "Bacterial small subunit ribosomal RNA", at positions 355 to 776 of the family's 1533-position model. The record is from RNAcentral.